RNAcentral lists this ribosomal RNA (462 nucleotides) under uncultured Rhodoferax sp. RNAcentral describes it as "bacterial SSU rRNA". It matches the Rfam family "Bacterial small subunit ribosomal RNA", at positions 56 to 512 of the family's 1533-position model. The record is from RNAcentral. Lineage: Bacteria; Pseudomonadati; Pseudomonadota; Betaproteobacteria; Burkholderiales; Comamonadaceae.
UGCAGUCGAACGGCAGCACGGGAGCAGUCCUGGUGGCGAGUGGCGAACGGGUGAGUAAUAUAUCGGAACGUGCCCAAUCGUGGGGGAUAACGCAGCGAAAGCUGUGCUAAUACCGCAUACGAUCUACGGAUGAAAGCGGGGGACUCGCAAGACCCUCGCGCGAGUGGAGCGGCCGAUAUCAAAUUAGCUAGUUGGUGGGGUAAAAGCUCACCAAGGCGACGAUCUGUNGCUGGUCUGAGAGGACGACCACCCACACUGGAACUGACACACGGUCCACACUCCUACGGGAGGCAGCAGUGGGGAAUUUUGGAGAAUGGGCGCAAGCCUGAUCCAUCCAUGCCGCGUGCAGGAUGAAGGCCUUCGGUUUGUAAACUGCUUUUGUACGGAGCGAAAACGCUCUCUCAAAUAAAGAGAGCUCAUGACGGUACCGUAAGAAUACGCACCGGCUAACUACGUGCCACC